GCCCUUGAUUAUAAAAGUGGGUUUUUUUUCUAAUUAAAUUUAAAUACGCUUGAUUACACUUAAUGUUUUGAAAGUUGGAUCUACCUUGCAAGCUAGAGAUUUUCCAGUCCAGAAUGAACUAUACUUGGUAGAAUAUUUUUAAGCCAAAAAAAGUUUGUUUUUUGCGACAUGUCCAAACCAGAAGAUUAGGAAAAGACACCAUAC
This 204-nucleotide long non-coding RNA is filed under the name Mytilus galloprovincialis (Mediterranean mussel). The record is from RNAcentral. Lineage: Eukaryota; Metazoa; Mollusca; Bivalvia; Mytilida; Mytilidae.